Molecule: non-coding RNA, 26 nt
Filed under: Homo sapiens (human)
Lineage: Eukaryota; Metazoa; Chordata; Mammalia; Primates; Hominidae
Source: RNAcentral
AGGUCCCUGAUCUCUUCACGUUGGUA